RNAcentral lists this long non-coding RNA (293 nucleotides) under Hordeum vulgare. Its description in RNAcentral is "long non-coding RNA (HVUL_LNC012873)". The record is from RNAcentral. Lineage: Eukaryota; Viridiplantae; Streptophyta; Magnoliopsida; Poales; Poaceae.
UCCCGUAGCAUGCACGUAUGGUGAACCGUUAUGUGACGAAGUCAGAGCAUGAUUUAUUUAUUGAUUGUCAUCCUUUGUGUGGAGGUCGGGAUCGCGCGAUGGUUAACUCCUACCAACCCUUCCCCUAGGAGCAUGCGUGUAGUACCUUGUUUCGAUAACUAAUAGACUUUUGCAAUAAGUAUGUGAGUUCUUUAUGACUAAUGUUGAGUCCAUGGAUUAUACGCACUCUCACCCUUCCAUCAUUGCUAGCCUCUCUAGUACCGCGCAACUUUCGCCGAUGCUUUACACCCACC